RNAcentral lists this ribosomal RNA (301 nucleotides) under uncultured bacterium. RNAcentral's name for it is "partial 16S ribosomal RNA". It matches the Rfam family "Bacterial small subunit ribosomal RNA", at positions 509 to 809 of the family's 1533-position model. The record is from RNAcentral.
CAGCAGCCGCGGGAAUACGUAGGGUGCGAGCGUUAAUCGGAAUUACUGGGCGUAAAGCGUGCGCAGGCGGUUUUGUAAGACAGGCGUGAAAUCCCCGGGCUCAACCUGGGAAUGGCGCUUGUGACUGCAAAGCUAGAGUGCGGCAGAGGGGGAUGGAAUUCCGCGUGUAGCAGUGGAAUGCGUAGAUAUGCGGAGGAACACCGAUGGCGAAGGCAAUCCCCCGGGCCUGCACUGACGCUCAUGCACGAAAGCGUGGGGAGCAAACAGGAUUAGAUACCCGAGUAGUCCCUGUCUCUUAUAA